Molecule: microRNA precursor, 86 nt
Filed under: Solanum tuberosum (potato)
Lineage: Eukaryota; Viridiplantae; Streptophyta; Magnoliopsida; Solanales; Solanaceae
Description: MIR8024 microRNA precursor family
Rfam family: MIR8024 microRNA precursor family
Source: Rfam by way of RNAcentral
UUGAAGAAUUUAGAGACCUCAACUUGCAGACUUGAAGAAUUCGAAGACUUCAACUUGCAGACUUGAAGAAUUUAAAGACUUCAACU